Long non-coding RNA from Arabidopsis thaliana (thale cress), 232 nucleotides. RefSeq annotates it as other RNA. The transcript is spliced from 2 exons. The record is from RefSeq. NCBI's taxonomy places the organism in Eukaryota, Viridiplantae, Streptophyta, Magnoliopsida, Brassicales, Brassicaceae.
UGAGAGAAGUUAUCGUUACGCCAUGAUCGAGAGACAAAGGAAGGAGAAGAACCAGAGCAUCAUUAGAGAUGAAAUAGAAGCAAUCGAAGCAGGAAUCGAAGAAGAGAAUGGAGAAACAAAUCAGAGCAAUUGCGGCUUUAUGGGCCUUUGGCCCUUUACGGUUUUAAUGUAUAACGUUUCGAUUUGUUGUAAGGAUUUGAAAUUAAAAUUCGCAUUAUGGUCGGACGGUUUG